This 566-nucleotide ribosomal RNA is filed under the name uncultured bacterium. RNAcentral's name for it is "bacterial SSU rRNA". It matches the Rfam family "Bacterial small subunit ribosomal RNA", at positions 8 to 571 of the family's 1533-position model. The record is from RNAcentral.
AGAGUUUGAUCAUGGCUCAGGAUGAACGCUGGCGGCGUGCUUAACACAUGCAAGUCGAACGAGAACCAUUGGAUCGAGGAUUCGUCCAAGUGAAGGUGGGGAAAGUGGCGGACGGGUGAGUAACGCGUGAGCAAUCUGCCUUGGAGUGGGGAAUAACGGCUGGAAACAGCCGCUAAUACCGCAUGAUACAGCUGGGAGGCAUCUCCCUGGCUGUCAAAGAUUUAUCGCUCUGAGAUGAGCUCGCGUCUGAUUAGCUGGUUGGCGGGGUAACGGCCCACCAAGGCGACGAUCAGUAGCCGGACUGAGAGGUUGGCCGGCCACAUUGGGACUGAGACACGGCCCAGACUCCUACGGGAGGCAGCAGUGGGGAAUAUUGGGCAAUGGGCGCAAGCCUGACCCAGCAACGCCGCGUGAAGGAAGAAGGCUUUCGGGUUGUAAACUUCUUUUCUUGGGGACGAAGAAAGUGACGGUACCCAAGGAAUAAGCCACGGCUAACUACGUGCCAGCAGCCGCGGUAAUACGUAGGUGGCAAGCGUUAUCCGGAUUUAUUGGGUGUAAAGGGCGUG